AGGACCAGGACGCAUAGAUGAUCUAAAAACAGCGCUGUUAAGGGUGGCCGGAAGCUUAUCCCGUGUCUAAGGCAAAUGCAAAGAACACCGCAAAGAAACUGAUCCUGACUCAGUAGAAGGUACACACAGUCUUGAGCCUGGAGAUUGGGUGGUGGUAAAGAGGCAUGUGAGGAAAACCUUUGAGCCCAGAUUUGAUGGUCCCUUCCAAGUCCUGUUGAAAACUGCAACUUCCAUAAAGGUGGAAGGAAAGCCUAACUGGAUUCACGCCUCACAUUGCAAGAAAGUGCCAAAACCUGAGGAUGGAGAUCCUUGCACUGCUACUCCUGGCUCUGAGCAUCCAAGCUCUACAUGUGAACCUAAAAAGUGACUG
Molecule: long non-coding RNA, 370 nt
Organism: Bufo bufo (common toad)
Lineage: Eukaryota; Metazoa; Chordata; Amphibia; Anura; Bufonidae
Exons: 3
Source: RefSeq, a predicted model, not a curated record